UACUGUCACACUACUUCACACAGACGAUUAAAAUAAAAAAUAAAUAAAUAAAUAAAUAAAAUAGUAAAAUCCUCUAUCUUAUGAAGUUUAACUCCUGGUGUGUCAUCCAGUUUAUAAUGAAGCAGAAGCAUCAUUACUGUCAACAUACAAGCACACGUGUCACUACCUUCACACAGAUGAUAAAAUAAAAACAAACAUAAACAUCGUAAAAUCCAACAUCCUACAAACUCUAAACCCUCUUAUGGCAUCACAUUAUCAUUAAACCUCCACGGUGUUGCUGGAAACGUACACAAACACGUGUCCUUCACCGCCCUCUCUUUUGUACCUCGGUCGCUUCUCGCCUAGGAGGUUCAAUAAAGACUCCUCUCUCAGCGCUGGUCGCCUCAUGGUCAGCCAGGAAUGAACACUCGCGCACCACAACUUGUGGAAUUAAUCUACAUAUGGAAUGCUACUUUCCUUUUUCCUUUGCAUCGUCUCAGCUUCAAUACAUUCCCACGUGGGCAUAAAGGGAAGGUAAAUAAUGGUUGCAAUGUUGCUGUGGAUUCUGUUGCAGUUCCGUGAAUUUGUCCAGCUGCAUCCAGUGUGCCUUGCCCGAGGUUUUAUUUAUUUAUUUAUUUACGUAUUUUUGUUCUUCUCUUCCUUCUCUUCCUAAUUAUUUUUUUCUCCAUCAUGCGCUACUCUGCCAUUCUGUGAGCUUCUCUUCAUAUGUUUUUAUCUCUUCUCAUAUAAUAUUUCUGCUAAUUGUUAGAGGUUUGUUUACUUUUUAUAUAUUUUUCCUUCUCUUUCUCCUACUUAUUCUUUUCUUCUUCCCACACCAUCCCUUUAUACUUUUAACUCCUCUUCCUACUCUUUUCUUUCUUCCUCAUGUAACACUUCUGCUAACAACACACCACGGUCUAACUUAUUCCACAUAACUACCCAAAUACGUUCUCCUCUAUCCCAAUUAAUUAUCUAGCCAUUGUUUCUUUCGUUCCACUUAAUUCACAAGUAACUGUCCAAAAUAUUAAAGAGCCAUGUUCUCCUUUAUCCCAUCUAAUCAACUGACCACCCUCCUGUAUCCCAUCUAACUACCCACUCACUGUCUCUUCUAUCCUAACUAACUACUUUCCCUUAUGUUCCAUGUAACGAGGUAAUGUCUCCUUUGUCUCACCUUUCUAACAGGCAUUUUUUUUUUUUUCGAAUUAGGUACCUAGUACUUCUCCUCUCUUCCACUUGAAUGGAUAAUGUCUUUCCUAUCCCAACUAAUUUACUAGGUGUACUCUCCUCCACCCAGCUAGUCUCCUCUGUUCACUCUACUUAACCACACUCAAUAGUUAGCCAGUCUCUUUCACCCGACUACUCGUAAACAAGCCGGCCACUGUCUGCUCUCUCCCACCUAAUCCAAUCUUUCCUCCAUCAAAUUAACCACCUUGCCAACAAUCAAGAUACCGCCCUCCCUAUUGUUUCCAGCCCAGUAGCAUUAAUGACGGUAAUCCCUGCCCUCUCUAGUUAUCGGUCUUUUUGUCACCAUUCCCAGUUUUAUGAAGGGCGAGGCGCGUGGCGAUGGGCGAAGCUUCCGACCAUCAGGGAUUAAAUUCAAGGGGUCAGGACAGGAAUGAGAGCGGACCUUCCAUCAGCAAGCGAGGCAAGAGAGGCGUCCUUUGCCUCGCUCAAGUAGGAUCUGCGGGGCUCACUGCACUGCCUGAGCCACGCUACCCAAGCUCUGCCCCUCCCUCGCCUUGCUUCCCCCGCCACUCAAUGGUACACACUCACCAGUUGGCAGUGCACAGUCAAUAGGGAACUUUACAGUAUUGGGAAUAUUCAUGAGUGGGGAUAGGUGCAAAUAAUAAUAUGUAGGUUUGAUUCACUCGUUUGUACAUUGAGUGCCACGUUAAGUCUGAUCAAUUUUUGUAGCUUCGCUUGUUUUAAGUAAA
This is a long non-coding RNA of Scylla paramamosain (green mud crab), 1913 nucleotides long. RefSeq lists it as uncharacterized. The transcript has 2 exons. Lineage: Eukaryota; Metazoa; Arthropoda; Malacostraca; Decapoda; Portunidae. The record is from RefSeq and is a predicted model, not a curated record.